Molecule: unclassified non-coding RNA, 4081 nt
Filed under: Leishmania donovani
Lineage: Eukaryota; Euglenozoa; Kinetoplastea; Trypanosomatida; Trypanosomatidae
Description: gene:LdHU3.36.1100(CDS-product:Calpain_family_cys teine_protease_putative)
Source: RNAcentral
ACGCACACGAACCGCAUAAAGGGGAUAUACAUCCGCACAUAGAGAAUUGAGGCUACACGCACACACACGUACAGACCUACAUUGCCGUAUCGUGGCACAUCCUCUCUCACACACAAGAAACUCUUUGUUCUCCAGUCUCAUUUAUCAUUGCUCUCGUCGGCGUCGGCGCCUUCCCAGGCAAGGGCUGAUAAUGCGCCGCCCAGGUGUGGAGUACUGGUCGUCCACUUGCUCUGUACACAGACCCUCGCGCACGUCUUCCUCGCCGGAUCCAACGUCUGUGUCGUGCACCUCCGCGGCGGACUACUGCAACUCGAGCAAGGAUGAAAUUCCACCGCCGAUGUCGACUGUGUGGCUAGCUCCGCCGUCGCUGUCCACCCCGGUCAUCUGCGAAGCGGACAGCGGAGACGGAGACGGAGCCCAGCGCAGGAUGCAACAACAACGAGUGCUGCAGCGACGAGAAGAGGAAGUGGCGCGUCUCGAAGCCAUCUUGGCACGGGAACGGGUCGACAACGCCAACUCGCUGAACGCCCUUCGAGCGUCGCUGAAGCGCGAGCACCUGCUGCGCGCCACGGCGGAGAAAGAGCGACAGGCCGCUCAGGCUGAGGGCAGGCACCUGCGCACCGCACUCCGGGCACUCCUGGCUCAGCCACCAAACAACAGCAACAACGAACCGUUGUCGUCGACGGUGCCUGUCUCCCUUUACGAAGAGGCGCGCCGCCUCCUCCUGCGGUGUGACAAGACGUUCGCGGAGCUCAAGGCGCUCCAGCUGCGCUCAACCGACGCCGCUGGCCUCGAGGUACUCCGCCGGUAUGACAUUCCGGUGCUCGACGAGAUCCCACCUGCGUGGCCGCCUGGGACGCCGCAGUGCAGCGGCGAAGAGGAAGACGACCACGCGCGACGCCGGGCGCGUGCUGGUGGUGGCCCGAAUUCUACCCCGGCUGCACGUGAGAAGGCCUCUUCUGGCACUACUCCACUACCGAUGGAGGAGACGCUGACGGGGCUCGAGAUAUCAGAGCUGACUGCUCUCUCGCCAGACACACCGUGCAGCCCGAGUUCGGCAACGCGGCAGGUGAGUGCGGUCACAGCUGCCGGUGAGGCGUCGGAGACGUGGCGUGAGAAGGGGUGCGUACCCCCUGUCCACUCCUCGUCAAACGGCAAGGCCAAGCCUGAUGCCGGAGGGGAAACCCUCAGCGCCGACGGUCGUCGUCGUCCGCGGCCCACCCUCCUCAGUCCCCCGUUGCCAUCGUCGGAGACCAGCGCCGCGAAAGUUGUGCAGCCGUGGAUGGGGCCCAUGCACGAGUUCGCCGGGUCGACGCCCCUUCUUGACGCCACGCCGCCGCAGGAGCUCGGCGCGGAGCACCCCACGCGGCUGAGUGAGUUGGGGCGAGAGGACACGAUUCGCGACACGGAUCACCUUCUCCGGUCUCUGGCAGAAGAGAUCGCAAUGCUGGCCACGAGCCAAGGGCUCCGCACUGCGUCCGAGGUGGCAGCGCUGUGCCGCCGCCGCGGGCUGCACUACGUCGACGCCGCGUUUCCUCCCGUGUCGGAGACGCUUGGCUUUGACAGCAGUGGUGGCUGCCGCGGCUGCCAUACAGACCGGCGCACUUCGUUUGUUGUGGAGUGGCGCCCCCGCGACGCCGUUGUGCCGCGUGGCAGGAAAGCUGAGCUGCUGACGAGCGCCGGCAUUGACCCCGAUUCGCUACGCUGCGGCCGACUGGGCGACGCGGGUGUUGUUGCCGCCUUGGCUGCGCUCGCCGAGUCUGCUGGUGCGGUGCUGAGCGUGCUCGCCAGCACGACGAGCGAGGACGAGGACAAUGGCAUCUACGUUGUCUGGCUGUGCGUGCAUGGCUGGUGGACGCGCGUCACGGUCGACGCGUAUCUGCCGUGCGUCAUCGAGGACAACAGGCUCGUCGACCUGUACGGAUGCAGCAGCACCACCACCUACGACCUCUGGGCACCUGUUUGCGAGAAAGCGCUGGCCAAAGUGCUGUGUGGCUACCACGCGCUCUGCAGUCUCACAGCGGAGACGGCGAUUGGCAACUUCACGGGUGGACCGGUCGAGUGCUGGGACUGGUGGCACAGACGCAGCAGCACGGCGCUGGAGGAGAUGGAGGCGGCUCUCAGUACAAACGCACGCGGCGCAGGCGUGGUGCUGCUCUCCACCUUUUCGACGGCGGCCCUGCGUGACACAUCUACGAGGUCGGUGGCUGUGGCUGGGGCGCAUGCGGCUUACCAGCGGCUCGGGCUUCGACCUGGCACGUCGUACCGCGUGCUGGCCGUGGCUGAUAAUGCAGAAGGUGAGCCGAUGGUCCUCCUGCGCAACUGGACACGAAGGUGCGAGCAGCGGGAGAACGGCCAGGCGCGCUGUCUCUUUGAUCUCGAUUCCGCAUUCGGCGGCGGUGACCGUCGCAAUCUUUCGCCGCGGCGGGACAGCAAUGACGGCACUGCGGCCGUGAAGGGAUGGCUGGCAAAGCCGCCGUCGCAGUCGAGUGCUGCUUCGAGUCAGUGCGACUCGUGUGUGUGGCUGAGCUACACAAAAGAAGUGCUACCCUACUUCGACGGGUGCCACGUGUGCUUUGACUGUCGCCGGUACCACGACCUUCGCGUUCCGAUUGCAUUUACGGGCUCACGGCCGGCCAUUCCAGCGCAGCUGGUUCGCGUCCGUGUUCAGGAAGGUCUUGCGAGGCCCCCGCACAGGGUGACGCGCUGCCCGACACGGCUGUGGAUCGGGCUACACCAGCCUUUCUCCCGCGUCGACACCAGCGAUGCUGCUCACGCUUGCUUUCCGUGGGGGCUGAAGAUGACCCUGGUGGCUCAAGAAGAGGCCCCGGUACCCUUUGGGGGAGGCGGCGGCUGUGCGCGUCCUGCGCGCCGGUCAUACAUCCUGUCCGAGUCCUUCUUAGGCGAGCCAAAGGAGCUGCCAGCGGUGUGGAUGUACUUGGAACUGGAGCCCGUCGCGGACAGCGCACCUCAUCCUGUCACGGAUCUCAAAGAUGAGGACGCCGCUGCAGCAACCACGACAACGGAGUUCUUCGUUGUGCCGCACAUGGAAUGGAUCGUCAGGAAGGACAGGGCACACACCGGCCAGGAUGAUGAUGGACUCGGCUCUCUCGGGUGUGACGUACCCUCUGCUCAGCAUCGGCGCAGUGUAGGGCAAGAGAGUCAGCGCAGGCGCCUUGGCAAGGAUGCGGCACCGCAUAGUGACCAAAGCGGUUGCGCAAGUGGUGCGGAGAAAGCGGUAUGGCACCAGUGCAGUAAUCGCCAUCCCGCCAGCUUAGCUGAGCUCUCACUCGGCAAUGCUACGACAGCGAUCGUGGCGGUCUUGGCAGAGCGCAGAGAGUCGGUGCUGGUGGACGUCGUCAACGCACCAGAGGAGCUGCGCGCUGCUGUGUAUCACGACGUAUUGGAUCGUAUCGACUUCUCUGAUUGUACAGUCGCAGGGGGCAGUGACCACCGUCAACCAUCCCACCCGUCGCAAGCGAGCGCUGCUACAGCACCGGGAGAGGUGCGCUGCCAGUUGAAUGGACGCUGCAUGCCAACGUUUUCCUGGUGAUGUUUGCACGGUGACCGGUGGACGGGAGAGGGCUAACAGUGAAGCGAUGCAACCCGAAGCGGCGCGAGAGAUGAAGGCGCGCCAUGAGCCUUCACGUUGUCCCUGCCAUCCUUUUCCUCGGCUCGUCGUUGGGUGCAUGUUGGUACAGUGCCCCGUCCUGCAAGUUCCGCGCUGCGUGCUAUGCUCCUUUUCCUAUCGUCACUGCCUGUUGUUGGCUCUAGGGCGAAUGGGUGGCCAUCACACAGCUGGACGCGAUCAGAUCCGCCGCAACGGCGGUCGCACAAUCUUACCAUACCCGUGCGGAGAAACCCAAAAGCCCUAAUCGGAAGCGACAAAAACCGCCCACGCCGUUACUGCAACGAUGAUGGCCACGAAGGCAGGUUCAGCGGCAGGUAUGACGACCUCGUUAGGAGGUGAGAACUGGUCUCCUCUCUCAACAGUCCGCAGACCUAUACACACCACGGUGUGUCUUGUCUCGCUUUCACGCGCAUCCCCUACACUGCACCUCUCCCGCUUCUGUCUUCAAAG